This 340-nucleotide long non-coding RNA is filed under the name Capra hircus (goat). Its description in RNAcentral is "lncRNA (ENSCHIG00010021486.1)". Lineage: Eukaryota; Metazoa; Chordata; Mammalia; Artiodactyla; Bovidae. The record is from RNAcentral.
UUGAACUUGAGAUACUUACAGGUAGGUGUCUGUUUACUGCUGACUAAAGGCUACUAUUCUCAGCUCCUGAAUCAGAUAAUAAACAUUACCAAAAUGACUUUUUUUAAAAAUACCUUUUAGUCAGCAAGAACCGAUUCAAAUCUGUUUGGCUUUACUCUUAGGUACGUUUUCUUUCUGUUGGAAGGACUAAGAUCAUUCUUGGGCUGCCAGCUUCAUGGAGGAAAAAGAGUUAUGGAUAAAGAGAAAUAUGAGAAGAGUGAGACUUUGUCCAAGAUCACCCAAUGAGGGGGAUUUAAACAGAGGGGAUCUGAUCCACGAGGCUCAUGAAUGCAGAGUGUAG